RNAcentral lists this ribosomal RNA (1660 nucleotides) under Salmonella enterica subsp. enterica serovar Enteritidis. RNAcentral describes it as "partial 23S ribosomal RNA". It matches the Rfam family "Bacterial large subunit ribosomal RNA", at positions 1292 to 2925 of the family's 2925-position model. The record is from RNAcentral. Lineage: Bacteria; Pseudomonadati; Pseudomonadota; Gammaproteobacteria; Enterobacterales; Enterobacteriaceae.
GAAUGCUGACAUAAGUAACGAUAAAGCGGGUGAAAAGCCCGCUCGCCGGAAGACCAAGGGUUCCUGUCCAACGUUAAUCGGGGCAGGGUGAGUCGACCCCUAAGGCGAGGCCGAAAGGCGUAGUCGAUGGGAAACGGGUUAAUAUUCCCGUACUUGGUGUUACUGCGAAGGGGGGACGGAGAAGGCUAUGUUGGCCGGGCGACGGUUGUCCCGGUUUAAGCGUGUAGGUGUGUGUUCCAGGUAAAUCCGGUUCACUUUAACACUGAGGCGUGACGACGAGGCACUACGGUGCUGAAGCAACAAAUGCCCUGCUUCCAGGAAAAGCCUCUAAGCAUCAGGUAACAUCAAAUCGUACCCCAAACCGACACAGGUGGUCAGGUAGAGAAUACCAAGGCGCUUGAGAGAACUCGGGUGAAGGAACUAGGCAAAAUGGUGCCGUAACUUCGGGAGAAGGCACGCUGACACGUAGGUGAAGUGAUUUACUCAUGGAGCUGAAGUCAGUCGAAGAUACCAGCUGGCUGCAACUGUUUAUUAAAAACACAGCACUGUGCAAACACGAAAGUGGACGUAUACGGUGUGACGCCUGCCCGGUGCCGGAAGGUUAAUUGAUGGGGUCAGCGCAAGCGAAGCUCCUGAUCGAAGCCCCGGUAAACGGCGGCCGUAACUAUAACGGUCCUAAGGUAGCGAAAUUCCUUGUCGGGUAAGUUCCGACCUGCACGAAUGGCGUAAUGAUGGCCAGGCUGUCUCCACCCGAGACUCAGUGAAAUUGAACUCGCUGUGAAGAUGCAGUGUACCCGCGGCAAGACGGAAAGACCCCGUGAACCUUUACUAUAGCUUGACACUGAACAUUGAGCCUUGAUGUGUAGGAUAGGUGGGAGGCUUUGAAGUGUGGACGCCAGUCUGCAUGGAGCCGACCUUGAAAUACCACCCUUUAAUGUUUGAUGUUCUAACGUGGACCCGUUACCCGGGUUGCGGACAGUGUCUGGUGGGUAGUUUGACUGGGGCGGUCUCCUCCUAAAGAGUAACGGAGGAGCACGAAGGUUGGCUAAUCCUGGUCGGACAUCAGGAGGUUAGUGCAAUGGCAUAAGCCAGCUUGACUGCGAGCGUGACGGCGCGAGCAGGUGCGAAAGCAGGUCAUAGUGAUCCGGUGGUUCUGAAUGGAAGGGCCAUCGCUCAACGGAUAAAAGGUACUCCGGGGAUAACAGGCUGAUACCGCCCAAGAGUUCAUAUCGACGGCGGUGUUUGGCACCUCGAUGUCGGCUCAUCACAUCCUGGGGCUGAAGUAGGUCCCAAGGGUAUGGCUGUUCGCCAUUUAAAGUGGUACGCGAGCUGGGUUUAGAACGUCGUGAGACAGUUCGGUCCCUAUCUGCCGUGGGCGCUGGAGAACUGAGGGGGGCUGCUCCUAGUACGAGAGGACCGGAGUGGACGCAUCACUGGUGUUCGGGUUGUCAUGCCAAUGGCACUGCCCGGUAGCUAAAUGCGGAAGAGAUAAGUGCUGAAAGCAUCUAAGCACGAAACUUGCCCCGAGAUGAGUUCUCCCUGAGACUUAAAGUCUCCUGAAGGAACGUUGAAGACGACGACGUUGAUAGGCCGGGUGUGUAAGCGCAGCGAUGCGUUGAGCUAACCGGUACUAAUGAACCGUGAGGCUUAACCUUACAAC